AUGCACGCUGGCGGCGUGCCUCAUACAUGCAAGUCGCGCGAACGGACGAGAAGCUUGCUUUUCUGAUGUUAGCGGCGGACGGGUGAGUAACACGUGGAUAACCUACCUAUAAGACUGGGAUAACUUCGGGAAACCGGAGCUAAUACCGGAUAAUAUUUUGAACCGCAUGGUUCAAAAGUGAAAGACGGUCUUGCUGUCACUUAUAGAUGGAUCCGCGCUGCAUUAGCUAGUUGGUAAGGUAACGGCUUACCAAGGCAACGAUGCAUAGCCGACCUGAGAGGGUGAUCGGCCACACUGGAACUGAGACACGGUCCAGACUCCUACGGGAGGCAGCAGUAGGGAAUCUUCCGCAAUGGGCGAAAGCCUGACGGAGCAACGCCGCGUGAGUGAUGAAGGUCUUCGGAUCGUAAAACUCUGUUAUUAGGGAAGAACAUAUGUGUAAGUAACUGUGCACAUCUUGACGGUACCUAAUCAGAAAGCCACGGCUAACUACGUG
Molecule: ribosomal RNA, 496 nt
Filed under: uncultured bacterium
Lineage: Bacteria
Description: partial 16S ribosomal RNA
Rfam family: Bacterial small subunit ribosomal RNA
Source: RNAcentral